Long non-coding RNA from Esox lucius (northern pike), 528 nucleotides. NCBI's taxonomy places the organism in Eukaryota, Metazoa, Chordata, Actinopteri, Esociformes, Esocidae. The record is from Ensembl.
GUGGUCUAGCGCUCUAGGGUGGUCUACAGUGGUCCAGCAGUCUAGGCUGGUUUAGGGUGGUGUAGCGGACUAGGCUAGUUUAAGGGGGUCUAAGGUGGUGUAGCGGUAUAAGCUGCUUUAGGGUGGUGUAGCAGUCUAGGCUGGUUUAGGGUGGUCUAGGUUGGUUUAAGGUGGUCUAAUGUGGUGUAGCGUUAUAGACUGGUUUAGGGUGGUGUAACGGUCUAGGCUGGUUUAGGGUGGUCUAGGUUGGUCUAGGCUGGUUUAGGGUGGUCUAGGUUGGUCUAGGCUGGUUUAAGGUGGUCUAAGCGGGUGUAGAGGUAUAGGCUGGUUUAGGGUGGUCUAGCUGUCUAGGCUGGUUUAGGGUGGUCUAGGCUGGUUUAAGGUGGUCUAGGAUGGUGUAGUGGUAUAGGCUCCUGCAUCGUGGUUAAAUGCAGCCCACUGCUCUUUCCUGUCCUGUAACACAUAGAAAUUACUGACAGCAUACCAUUAAAACAUAACUGUACUUGUGAUUUGUUAAUGUCUCAACUA